This 253-nucleotide ribosomal RNA is filed under the name uncultured bacterium. Its description in RNAcentral is "partial 16S ribosomal RNA". It matches the Rfam family "Bacterial small subunit ribosomal RNA", at positions 524 to 776 of the family's 1533-position model. The record is from RNAcentral.
GACGAACCGAGCGAACGUUGUUCGGAAUCACUGGGCUUAAAGGGCGCGUAGGCGGGCUGUCAAGUCUGGGGUGAAAUCCCACGGCUCAACCGUGGAACUGCCUUAGAUACUGACGGCCUCGAGGGAGGUAGGGGCGAGCGGAACUGUGAGUGGAGCGGUGAAAUGCGUUGAUAUUCACAGGAACUCCGGUGGCGAAGGCGGCUCGCUGGACCUUUUCUGACGCUGAGGCGCGAAAGCUAGGGGAGCAAACGGG